CCUGGUGGCUCAGAUGGUAAAGAAUCUGCCUGAAAUGCAGGAGACCUGGGUUCAAUCCCUAGGUCAGGA
RNAcentral lists this transfer RNA (69 nucleotides) under Bos taurus (domestic cattle). It matches the Rfam family "tRNA". Rfam says of the family: Transfer RNA (tRNA) molecules are approximately 80 nucleotides in length. RNAcentral also lists the same sequence under 3 other names. The record is from Rfam by way of RNAcentral. Lineage: Eukaryota; Metazoa; Chordata; Mammalia; Artiodactyla; Bovidae.